Non-coding RNA from Callithrix jacchus (white-tufted-ear marmoset), 7155 nucleotides. NCBI's taxonomy places the organism in Eukaryota, Metazoa, Chordata, Mammalia, Primates, Cebidae. The record is from RefSeq and is a predicted model, not a curated record.
AGCAGAGGCCAUUUCCCUCCCAACCCCGCACUCACCCGCCCUGGUCUCGGUCAGGUCCAGGGUCCCCGAGAGCAGUAGGAGGAGUGUUCGGGGCACCACGACCCCAGCCUCAGUGUCUGGGGAGAAUCCAAGUCCCGAGAAUUGGCUGAAGCACAUGCAUGUAAAAGGAAGGCAAUGGCUGAAGAAUCAAGACAGGACUAUAGUGGGAGAAGAGAAGAAAAAUGUAAACGUGGAGAUAGAUGACAAGAAGAUAACUGAUGCAUGAAGUGGACAUUAAUACUGUGAAAACCUCUUGGGGAGUCAGAAAUGACCACGUCUACAUGGGAGGGAAACUUUUUUUUUUUUUUUUUAAUUGAGAUGGAGUUUCACUCGUUACCCAGGCUGGAAUGCAAUGGCGCGAUCUCGGCUCACCGCAACCUCCGCCUCCUGGGUUCAGGCAAUUCUCCUGCCUCAGCCUCCCAAGUAGCUGGGAUUACAGGCAUGCGCCACCAUGCCCAGCUAAUUUUUUGUAUUUUUAGUAGAGACGGGGUUUCACCAUGUUGACCAGGAUGGUCUUGAUCUCUUGACCUCGUGAUCCACCCGCCUCGGCCUCCCAAAGUGCUGGAAUUACAGGCGUGGGAGGGAAAAUGUCUUAUCGCCCAACAUGACCAGCCAUCAGGGACAUGGGACAGAAUCAGAAGGGCUGUCUAGUCAUUUCCUUUCUUCUCCCUCCAACAUCCCAGCAAGAUUAUUGACUAAUUUACAGCCAAUGCACAUUGAAGAAUCAGUACAAUUUGUUGUAGGCUUUGAGAAAAUAGAAAUUUCUUGAGCUCUUCUUGGGGGUAGUGAGCCGUUUCCCUGUAUCAGACAAAUAGACUCAUCUGGUAUUUCAGGAAUAAAGUGUGUAAUGUAGAAAUAAGAGCAUACACUAAUGUUUGGAAACCAGGGGUAGCAAAUAUUGACAAAGUCAUGUGACAGGCAGAAUAAUGGUCUCCUAAACGUAUCUGUGUCCUGAAAUUUAUAGAAACGUCUUCUAAUAGGGCAGAAGUAACUUUUCAGAUGUGAUUAAGCUGCAGCUCCUGAGAUGGGAAGAUUAUCCUGGAUUGAAGGAAGCUUCAAUGUAAUCACAACAGACCUUAUAAGUGAAAGGAGUAAAGACAGCAUCAGAGUUAGAGAUGUGACAACACAAUCAGAGGUCGAAAUGAUGUGACUGCUGACUUGGAAUAUGGAGGAAAGGACCAAGAGCCAAGGAAUGCAGGCAGCCCCAAGAAGCUGGAAAUGGUGAGGAAACAAUUUUCCCUUAGGGCCUCAGAAGAAAUGCAGCUCUGAUGACACAUUAACUUUAGCCCCUAGUGACCCAUUUUUGACUUCACACCUCCAGAACUGUAAGAGGUUAAAUCUUGUAUUAGCCAUUCAAACUAAAUUUUGAAUUGCAAAUCAGCCCCAUAUUUAUUAAUUUUUUUAAAUUUCCAUAGUUUUGGGGGGGCAGGUAGUUUUUGGUUACAUUUAGAGUUCUUUAGUAGUGAAUUCUGAAAUGUUAGUGCACCAUCACCCGAGCAGUGUACUCUGUACCCAAAAUAGUCUUUUAUCCCUCACCCUCUUCCCAACCUCCCCACAAGUCCCCACAGCCCAUUAUAUCACUUUGUAUGUCUUUCCAUCCUCAUAGCUUAGCUCUCAUUUAUAUGUGAGAACAUUCAGUAUUUGGUUUUUCCAUCCCUGAGUUACUUCACUUAUAAUAAUAAUAAUCUCCAGCUCCACCUAAGUUGCUGUAUAACCCAUUAUUUUAUUCCUUUUUAUGGUCGAGUAGUGUUCCAUGGUGUAUUUACACCACAUUUCUUUUAUACACCCACUGGUUGAUGGUCACUCAGGUUGGCUCCAUAUCCUUGCAAUUGUGAAUUGUGCUGCCCUAGAUAUGCACGUGCAUGCGUCUUUUCCAUAUAAUGAUUUACUCCCCUUUGGGUAGAUACCCAGUAAUAGGGUUGCUGGAUCAAAUGGUAGAUCCAGUUUUAGAUAUUUAAGGAAUCUCCAUGAAGUGGAAAUUUGGCCCAGGAUUUUGUCAGCACGUAGUGGGUAACUGUCCCCAUUUUAAAACUGCCCCUAUUUUUGUUAGUAAUUGCCCCUUUCUGCUUCUGUACCUCAGCUUAUUGCUUACUAACUCGAAAGCCUUAAGGGAAACUGCUGUGUCGCCUAAAAUGUGCUGCUUUGUCUAAAGUCCUGAGUUACUUCCCCUGCCCCUUUACCUAUAAAAACUGUGUACUUUUCUUAGCUGGGGUCCAGACUUUUGGAUGUGAACCCUUCUGGGCCCCCCGACAUAAUAAAGUGUGUUCCUCUGAUCCCUGAGUUCUGCUUUGGUUUCUUAUCAGGUAAAAUUUUCCAGAACAUUUUGUUCCCUGACCAGGAAACCCAACUGUGCUGGCCCCUUGAGCCACUGGUUUGGGGUCAGAAAGAACAGAUAGCUUGCCUGUUCGCCACUGGGAAACAAGGCAGGGACCCCCCAUAAGCUUCUACAGGGCCUUCUUUCCUGGAGGGAGAACGGCAGUUGCUCCGGCAUUGCCACUCGCCGAACUCACGGGGGAGAUGGACUGAACUGAAGGGAACUCUGAAUAAGGUAAGGUCCUGGGAUCUGACCCUAGGCAGGCCCAUCUACAGGUGGAAGGAGAGAUUGGAUCUCCAUUUGGAGACAGCAGUCAGAUUUCCUGAGUCAGGGUAGGAAUGUGAUAAUCUGAGUGAGUGUGUGAGUGCAUGGGGAGCUCAAGGGCCCACCCUUGAACCUCCAUUCUGUGGCGACCUCAUAAGGCUUAUGGAAGUAUUGAGCUAAGUGAGAGCUGAGCUCGAUCCGAGUUGGGGGAUUAUACUGACCUGCUGAUGCUAAGAGGCACCUAAGUUCCUGCAAGGGAUGUGACCAGGUGGGAAACCAAGUGGUCCUUCAUGGGACACCCCCUCCUUUGUCUAUCUUGUGCCAAUGGUCAGAAAGGGACACACAUCAUGGGGAAAAGUCAGUCUAAGCCCAUGGUCCUAUAUUGUAUGGUCAAAAACUUCAGGAAGGGCUUUUCUGAAAAUUAUGGGGUCAGAAUGACCCCAGAAAAGCUAAAGAUCCUCUGCAGAUCAGAGUGGCUGGUUCUUAGCAUUGGCUGGUGACCAGAGGGCACCCCGGACCUCUCUAUAGGCUGUUUGGAAGGCUGUGACCAGCAACCCCAGCCACCCAGACCAGAUCCCAUAUAUUGACUCCUGGUUGGAGAUAGCUCAGACCCUUCCCCUUGUGUUCAAUUCUGCACUGGAAAUAAGUGACAGUUCAAGGUCCUCAUGGCCCAAGCAACUAAGGGACCCAAGGAACCAAUUCAUCAGGGUGACCCCAAGGAGGAGCUGUCACUGCUUUAUGUCCUUCUGGCACCAUCAGCCCCCAGCCCACCACCCUUGCCUGACACACCUGCCACACAAAGAGGGGAGAUCUGAGCACCCUCCCUUGUGGCUACAUCACUGGGCAUACUGCAAAGAGGUGGGACAUUGGAAGAACAAGUGCCCCAAACAGAUGGUCCUGGGUGGGGCACCCCCCACCAAGAGAGGGCAGAAUACCAGCCAGAACCUAGCCAGGCCCACCUGAUUGCCUUGUCCAGGACGAACUCAGACUAGGACGGGCCAACCUCUGUGAAACUUGGCCCCUGAGAGCCCACGUCAGGAUAAAGGUCUGGGGCCACCCAAUGACUUUUAUAGUAGACACUGGAGCAGAGUACUCAUGAUCACCACUCUGGUUGCCCCAUUUAGCAACUGAAAGGCAACUGUUGUGGGAGCAACAGACAACCAAGUAGAGCCCCGGCCGUUCUGCCAAGAUCGGAUAUGCCAAUUAGGAGGGCACCAGGUAUGCCAUGAGUUCCUCUACCUACCAGAAUGUCCUGUUCCCCUUUUGGGAAGAGACUUGUUAAGGGCACAAAUUGCUUUUAAACCAGGGGAGCCAGCCAGUCUGACUUUGAGUGAGCCAAAAUGGGGCCUGGUCCGGGCAGUCACACUUCCACGUGAGGAAGAAUAAAAACUGCACACUGCCGAGAGGUCAGAGGAAAUCCCACCAGAAUUCCUGGACUCCUUCCCUGCAGUCUGGGCAGAGAUGAAGCCCCUAGGGAUGGCUAAGGCCCAAAUCUGCAGAUGACAGGUGAGAUACCUGGGGUUCAUACCUGGGGUUCUCUGGUCCUUUGGACCAGAGAGAAAAAGGGUGAUUUGCUCCACGCCCACUCCCAAUACCAAGUGGAAGCUCAGGGAGUUUCUCGGGGUGGCAGGCUUCUGCCGAAUAUGGAUUCCCGACUAUGGACCCCUUGAGGGGAGUGGUAGCCAAGACAUGGCUUUCUGGGAAAUCAAGGCACUGCUCCAAAGUGCCCCAACACUAGGACUUCCAGAUGUCACCUGAGAAUUCAAUCUAUUCAUUCAGGAUAGAAAGAAGAUAGCACUUGGGGUCCUCACCCAGACCAUUGGGCCUUGGCAGAGACCAGUAACAUAUGUGUCUAAACAGUUGGAUGCAGUAGCAUCAGAAUGACCCCCUUGUCUCUGAGCCUUAGCUGCCACAGUUAUUCUGAUGAAGGAAGCUGACAAGCUAACCUUGGGCCAGACUGUCCAUAUCAAAGUGCCUCACUCAGUGUCCAUCCUUAUGAGCAGUCAGGGGAACCAGUGGCUCUCAAAUGUUUGUUUAACCCACUACCAAGGGCUGCUCUAUGAAAACCCACGGGUCGCCAUUGAGACAGUGGCCUCAACCCAGCCACAUUUCUACCCACAGAGGAGGGGACCCUAGACCAAGACUGUGAGGAGGUGGUAGAUGAAAUCUUUACUAGUCUGCCAGACCUGAAGGACUGUCCCCUUCCAAAGGCAGACUUAAACCUGUUCACUGAUGGAAGCAGCUAUGUCCAAAAUGGGAAGAGGUAUGCAGGGUAUGCAGUCACCACUGCCACUGAAGUGGUCGAGGCAGCCCCUUUGCCCAGCAGCUGGUCAGCACAAUGGGCAGAAGUACAUGCCCUCAUUCAGGCCCUGUGCCAUGCAGAAGGUAAAGUGGCCAAUAUUCACACUGAGUCCAAGUACGCCUUUGCAACUGUCCACAUACAUGGGGUGAUAUACAAGGAGAGAGGGCUGCUAAUAGCAGGAGGAAAAGAAAUCAAAAAUAAGGAAGAAAUUCUCAGACUGCUGGAAGGAGUUUGGAAGCCCAAAGGGGUAGCUGUCAUGCAUUGCAAAAGCCACCAAAGAGGAACUGAUCUUAUCUCUAUAGGAAACCGUCUGGCUGACAGAGAAGAAGCCGCACUGCAGAAAGAACCUGUACGGGACCCUGCCCACUUAUUCAGUCACCCCUUGGCUCCAAGAGGAUAUGGGAAAGCCAGAGUGCCCUAAGGAAGAAAACCAGUGGGCACAGCAGGAGGGGGAAAGCAGAGUGCUGGGGGAUGGUGGCUACUCCCUGACCACAGACCGAUAGUGCCCAGGAACUUGGCUCACACCAUCGUUACUCAGGACCAUGGUCUCACUACCUAGGUAAAACUGCUCUGGAGACCUUACUCCACAGCUAUUACUAUAUUGCAACCCUCCCUAAACUCUGCUGCAGUAAGCAAUCAGUGCCUUACCUGUGCUAAAAGCAACCCCCCCACAGUGACUGAAACCUGCCCCAGGGGUGCAACAGGUGGGGGUCUACCCCUUUGAGGACAUAGAGGUGGACUUCACUGAAAUUAAGCCCAGUAAAGGGUACAGAUGCCUACAGGUCCUUGUAUGUACGUACUCAGGCUGGGCUGAGGCACUGCCAACUAAGAUGGAAAGAGCCCGAGAAGUAGUGGAAGUCCUAUUUUGUGAAAUUGUUCCCUGAUAUGGGAUUCCACCAUACACAGUGACAGUGGGCCAGCAUUCACCAUACACAAUGACAAUGGGACAGCAUCCACCAUACACAGUGACAAUGGGCCAGCAUUUGUGGCAGAAAUCAUCCAAGCCCUCACCAGUGUGCUCAAGAUUAAGUGGAAACUUCAUACAGCCUACAGGCCACAAAGUUCAGGGAAAGUGGAGCACAUGAAUCCAACCCUGAAGGUUACACUAGCAAAGCUCUGUCAGGAAACCCAGGCUUCCUGGGUAGAUAUAAUUCCCCUAGCCCUGUUGCAAUCAUGGUGUACAGCAGGACCCGUGGGCUACUCACCCUUUGAAAUCCUAUUCGGGAGCACUGCCACCGCUCCCCCCCCCGCCCCGUUAACAAAGUAACAUUAGACCUGAGACAGCUAGGGGAAACAAGCAUGACAUCCCAGCUGCAGGCACUGGGAAAAGUGCUGUCCCCGGUCAGUCAGUUUGUAACAGAAAGAGCACCUCUCCCUAGCUAAUCCAGUACAUCCCUUCCAACUUGGGGACCAGGUCUAGGUGAAAGAUUGGAAAAAGGAACCCCUCCAAUCUGUUUGGACAGGGCCCCAUGCUGUAAUCCUUGUCAUCCAAACUGUUCUGCAAGUUACAGGAGUCGUUCUGUGGGUACACUAUUCCAGAGCAGAGAGGGCCCACCCGGACACAUCGCUGGACAGGUGGUCUGUGCGCCCAGACCCUCGGCAUCCCAUGAAAAUCAUGCUCCAGCAAGAUGUGGUCUGAAAUCUUAAUACUUGGACAGCAUUUGUUGUUCUACUGUUGUGCUGACAUUAUUGUCUUCCCUUGAGGGAUAUUCUUUGUCCAUUUCUGGUGUAAAAUGUCACUUCCUGUUUUGCUAUUAAUAAUCUUGGCCCUUGCCUAAUUAACAUACUCUGGCAGUUUCCUGAAGUCAUGGUAAUUAGAAAACCAAGUGCUCAGUUACUAGCCCUCUGUGAGUAUAAGCCGCUAAGUACAGACACCAGGGUGUAAAAGGGGAUGCUCCCUAAUAACCAUAAGAGAGCAUCAAAGUGGGGGAUGAAGUGGAAAUUUUGCCCAGGAUUUUGUCAGCAGGUAGUCAGCAGCCGUCCCUAUUUUAAAACUGCCCCUAUUUUUGUUAGUAACUGCCUCUUUCUGCUUCUGUACCUCAGCUUAUUGCUUACUAACUGGAAAGCCUUAAGGGAAACUGCCACUUCGUCUAAAACCUGCUGCGUUGUCUAAAGUCCCGAGUUACUUCCGCUGCCCCUUUACCUAUAAAAACUGUGUGCUUUUCUUAGCUGGGGUCCAGACUUCUGGGUGUGAACCCUUCUGGGCCUGCUGGUGUAAUAAAGUGUGUUCCUCUGA